AUUGGGGGUUUUCUCUGAUGUUUCUCUCCAUCCUCACAGGAGUCAGCUGUGAAGAACUCACUCCAGUAGAGAAAGAAGAGAACAGUUUAGAAGACAGCUCUGUUACUCUGUCCUACAGAUACUCCAAAGGUUCUGCUGAUUAUUUCUUCUGGUACCGACAAUAUCCAGGAAAACCUCCAGAGUUCAUCAUCUCUCAUUUAGGAACAGGCGGAAUAAUGAAAAAUCCAAUCCCUGGACUGUCUUCUUCAGUGAGUGAGGAUAAAACCAAAAUGGAUCUGAAGAUCUCCUCAGCUAAGCUGUCUGACUCUGCUGUGUACUACUGUGCUCUGCAGCCCACAGUGACAGGAAACACCAAAACUCUGUACAAAAACCUUUGGAGCAAAGACAACACAAUACUCCACAACUUCCACCAGAGGGAGACACACUCUGUUAACCUUCAGAGUAUUUCAUGAGCCAGUCAGGAUUCUUUUCACUAAUGAAACCCAGUUGUGAUGAAGACUUGGAGAAAUGAAAGUAAGUCAACAUCUGAGUCUCCUCCUCCUGACUGCAGAGGUGGCUUCAUGACAGACAACUGUUUGAUUCCAGCUGUGAACAUCAGACCAAACAACUCACAACACUUAUUCAUCCUGAACCUUC
This is a non-coding RNA of Etheostoma spectabile (orangethroat darter), 636 nucleotides long. Lineage: Eukaryota; Metazoa; Chordata; Actinopteri; Perciformes; Percidae. The record is from the annotation of a RefSeq genome assembly.